UUACCUACGGGAGGCAGCAGGGGGGAAUAUUGGGCAAUGGGCGCAAGCCUGACCCAGCAACGCCGCGUGAAGGAAGAAGGCCCUCGGGGUGUAAACUUCUUUUAUCAGGGACGAAACAAAUGACGGUACCUGAUGAAUAAGCCACGGCUAACUACGUGCCAGCAGCCGCGGUAAUACGUAGGUGGCAAGCGUUAUCCGGAUUUACUGGGUGUAAAGGGCGGGUAGGCGGG
Molecule: ribosomal RNA, 230 nt
Filed under: uncultured bacterium
Lineage: Bacteria
Description: partial 16S ribosomal RNA
Rfam family: Bacterial small subunit ribosomal RNA
Source: RNAcentral